UACGAGGGGGGCAAGCGUUGUUCGGAAUUAUUGGGCGUAAAGGGCGCGUAGGCGGCGCCACAAGUCACUUGUGAAAACUCUGGGCUCAACUCAGAGCCUGCAAGCGAAACUGUGGUGCUGGAGUAUGGGAGAGGUGCGUGGAAUUCCCGGUGUAGCGGAGAAAUGCGUAGAUAUCGGGAGGAACACCUGUGGCGAGAGCGGCGCACUGGACCAUAACUGACACUAAGGCGCGAAAGCUAAGGGAGCAAACAGG
Molecule: ribosomal RNA, 253 nt
Filed under: uncultured bacterium
Lineage: Bacteria
Description: partial 16S ribosomal RNA
Rfam family: Bacterial small subunit ribosomal RNA
Source: RNAcentral